Small nucleolar RNA from Setaria italica (foxtail millet), 77 nucleotides. It matches the Rfam family "Small nucleolar RNA R160". From Rfam's summary of the family: snoR160 is a C/D box small nucleolar RNA, which acts as a methylation guide for 25S ribosomal RNA in plants. snoR160 has been alternatively named snoZ270 in rice. Lineage: Eukaryota; Viridiplantae; Streptophyta; Magnoliopsida; Poales; Poaceae. The record is from Rfam.
AGUAAAAUGAGGAGGUCAUAUGAUCUGAAUUGAAUGUUGAUACAUCCAUUCAUGGUCUUCAAAGUUCUCUGAUUGCU